GAGCCUUGAGACCGGCGCACGGGUGCGUAACGCGUAUGCAGUCUACCUUGUACAGGGGGAUAGCCCAGAGAAAUUUGGAUUAAUACCCCAUGGUGUAUUAGAGUGGCAUCAUUUAAAUACUAAAGUUCCAACGGUACAAGAUGAGCAUGCGUCCCAUUAGUUAGUUGGUAAGGUAACGGCUUACCAAGACGAUGAUGGGUAGGGGUCCUGAGAGGGAGAUCCCCCACACUGGUACUGAGACACGGACCAGACUCCUACGGGAGGCAGCAGUGAGGAAUAUUGGUCAAUGGGCGAGAGCCUGAACCAGCCAUGCCGCGUGCAGGAAGACGGUCCUAUGGAUUGUAAACUGCUUUUAUACAGGAAGAAACACUCCCUCGUGAGGGAACUUGACGGUACUGUAGGAAUAAGGAUCGGCUAACUCCGUGCCAGCAGCCGCGGUAAUACGGAGGAUCCAAGCGUUAUCCGGAAUCAUUGGGUUUAAAGGGUCUGUAGGCGGUUUAAUAAGUCAGUGGUGAAAUCUGGUCGCUCAACGAUCAAACGGCCAUUGAUACUGUUAAACUUGAAUUAGUGUGAAGUAACUAGAAUAUGUAGUGUAGCGGUGAAAUGCUUAGAUAUUACAUGGAAUACCAAUUGCGAAGGCAGGUUACUAACACUAUAUUGACGCUGAUAGACGAAAGCGUGGGUAGCGAACAGGAUUAGAUACCCUGGUAGUCCACGCCGUANACGAUGGAUACUAGCUGUUUGGAGCAAUCUGAGUGGCUAAGCGAAAGUGAUAAGUAUCCCACCUGGGGAGUACGCACGCAAGUGUGAAAC
Molecule: ribosomal RNA, 813 nt
Filed under: uncultured bacterium
Lineage: Bacteria
Description: bacterial SSU rRNA
Rfam family: Bacterial small subunit ribosomal RNA
Source: RNAcentral